UCCUUGUGAACUACAUGUUAGGAUAUAGAUAUUCAGGCCUGUCUGCAAAGGCCUAUACUUUAAGAAUUUAGGUGUAUUCUUAUCACUUAGCUAGUUAUAGAGGUAUAAAAGAAAGAAUCAAAAAUCACAGUCUGCCUGUUUAUGGGCCUUCUCUUACAGUGACAGUCUGAGGCCCUGUUCUUAGGCUAAGAUCUUUGGCUAAACAGUAGAGGCAGCCAUGAACUAGGAAGCGUAUGGUCACAUCCUCACAUUCCAAACUAGUCACAUUGAAAUAAGGCAAUCUGGGG
Long non-coding RNA from Dermochelys coriacea (leatherback sea turtle), 287 nucleotides. RefSeq lists it as uncharacterized. The record is from RefSeq and is a predicted model, not a curated record. NCBI's taxonomy places the organism in Eukaryota, Metazoa, Chordata, Testudines, Dermochelyidae. The transcript is spliced from 3 exons.